Molecule: transfer RNA, 70 nt
Filed under: Tropiocolotes steudneri
Lineage: Eukaryota; Metazoa; Chordata; Lepidosauria; Squamata; Gekkonidae
Description: tRNA-Lys
Source: RNAcentral
CCAAAGGCAGCUAUGAACCAGCGCUGGCCUUUUAAGCCAGAGACAGGGCACCCCGUCUGCCCCCUUAGGA